This 258-nucleotide ribosomal RNA is filed under the name uncultured Pseudomonas sp. RNAcentral describes it as "partial 16S ribosomal RNA". It matches the Rfam family "Bacterial small subunit ribosomal RNA", at positions 96 to 355 of the family's 1533-position model. The record is from RNAcentral. Lineage: Bacteria; Pseudomonadati; Pseudomonadota; Gammaproteobacteria; Pseudomonadales; Pseudomonadaceae.
CGGCGGACGGGUGAGUAAUGCCUAGGAAUCUGCCUGGUAGUGGGGGACAACGUUUCGAAAGGAACGCUAAUACCGCAUACGUCCUACGGGAGAAAGCAGGGGACCUUCGGGCCUUGCGCUAUCAGAUGAGCCUAGGUCGGAUUAGCUAGUUGGUGAGGUAAUGGCUCACCAAGGCGACGAUCCGUAACUGGUCUGAGAGGAUGAUCAGUCACACUGGAACUGAGACACGGUCCGAGACUCCUACGGGAGGCAGCAGCC